UGCAUUUGUAGCUCAUGAGGAUGAGAACCUCCGGGGGCAGGGAGGUUCGACUCGAGCGAAGCGAGAGAACGUUGCGCCAGCAACGGCCCGCAGGGCGAGCCACGAAGUGG
This 110-nucleotide small RNA is filed under the name Shigella sonnei. RNAcentral describes it as "partial RtT sRNA". It matches the Rfam family "RtT RNA", at positions 1 to 106 of the family's 130-position model. Rfam says of the family: This family represents a bacterial cis-regulatory element known as RtT RNA. The record is from RNAcentral. Lineage: Bacteria; Pseudomonadati; Pseudomonadota; Gammaproteobacteria; Enterobacterales; Enterobacteriaceae.